GGGCCCGUAGCUCAGUGGACAGAGUGCUUGGUUCCGGACCAAGUUGCCCGGGGUUCAAAUCCCCGCGGGCUCG
Halosimplex carlsbadense 2-9-1 is the source of this 73-nucleotide non-coding RNA. The record is from Rfam. NCBI's taxonomy places the organism in Archaea, Methanobacteriati, Methanobacteriota, Halobacteria, Halobacteriales, Haloarculaceae.